This 705-nucleotide ribosomal RNA is filed under the name uncultured euryarchaeote. RNAcentral's name for it is "bacterial SSU rRNA". It matches the Rfam family "Archaeal small subunit ribosomal RNA", at positions 148 to 871 of the family's 1478-position model. Lineage: Archaea; Methanobacteriati; Methanobacteriota. The record is from RNAcentral.
GAUAACCCAUAGAUAUGAAGCUGAAGCUCGUAGUUCAAAGGUACCGCCUUAGAUGGUCUGCGCCGAUAGGUUGUUUUGGGUAACGGCCCAACAAGCCUGUAAUCGGUACGGCUUGUGGGAGCAAGAGCCCGGAGAUGGAUUCUGAGACACGAAUCCAGGCCCUACGGGGCGCAGCAGGCGCGAAAACUUUACAAUGCGGGAAACCGUGAUAGGGGAACUCUGAGUGCCCGUUAAAUCGGGCUGUCCACCAGUUUAAACAACUGGUGAAGAAAGGGCCGGGCAAGACCGGUGCCAGCCGCCGCGGUAAUACCGGCGGCUCGAGUGGUGGCCACUAUUACUGGGCUUAAAGCGUUCGUAGCUGGUUUGUUAAGUCUCUGGGGAAAUCUUCCGGCUUAACCGGAAGGCGUCUCAGGGAUACUGGCAGACUAGGGACCGGGAGAGGUGAGGGGUACUCCAGGGGUAGGAGUGAAAUCCUGUAAUCCUUGGGGGACCACCUGUGGCGAAGGCGCCUCACCAGAACGGCUCCGACAGUGAGGGACGAAAGCUGGGGGAGCAAACCGGAUUAGAUACCCGGGUAGUCCCAGCCGUAAACGAUGUGCGUUAGGUGUAUCGGUGACCACGAGUCACCGAGGUGCCGAAGAGAAAUCGUGAAACGUACCGCCUGGGAAGUACGGUCGCAAGGCUGAAACUCAAAGGAAUUGACGG